This 465-nucleotide ribosomal RNA is filed under the name uncultured Klebsiella sp. RNAcentral's name for it is "bacterial SSU rRNA". It matches the Rfam family "Bacterial small subunit ribosomal RNA", at positions 338 to 795 of the family's 1533-position model. The record is from RNAcentral. Lineage: Bacteria; Pseudomonadati; Pseudomonadota; Gammaproteobacteria; Enterobacterales; Enterobacteriaceae.
CCUACGGGUGGCUGCAGUGGGGAAUAUUGCACAAUGGGCGCAAGCCUGAUGCAGCCAUGCCGCGUGUGUGAAGAAGGCCUUCGGGUUGUAAAGCACUUUCAGCGGGGAGGAAGGCGGUGAGGUUAAUAACCUCAUCGAUUGACGUUACCCGCAGAAGAAGCACCGGCUAACUCCGUGCCAGCAGCCGCGGUAAUACGGAGGGUGCAAGCGUUAAUCGGAAUUACUGGGCGUAAAGCGCACGCAGGCGGUCUGACAAGUCGGAUGUGAAAUCCCCGGGCUCAACCUGGGAACUGCAUUCGAAACUGGCAGGCUAGAGUCUUGUAGAGGGGGGUAGAAUUCCAGGUGUAGCGGUGAAAUGCGUAGAGAUCUGGAGGAAUACCGGUGGCGAAGGCGGCCCCCUGGACAAAGACUGACGCUCAGGUGCGAAAGCGUGGGGAGCAAACAGGAUUAGAUACCCGGGUAGUC